RNAcentral lists this ribosomal RNA (466 nucleotides) under uncultured bacterium. RNAcentral's name for it is "partial 16S ribosomal RNA". It matches the Rfam family "Bacterial small subunit ribosomal RNA", at positions 28 to 507 of the family's 1533-position model. The record is from RNAcentral.
GAUGAACGCUGGCGGCGUGCUUAACACAUGCAAGUCGAACGAUGAAGCCCAGCAUGCUGGGUGGAUUAGUGGCGAACGGGUGAGUAACACGUGAGUAACCUGCACUUACCUCUGGGAUAAGCCUAGUACACUGGGCCUAAUACCGGAUAGCAUAGCCUCCCGAAUGGAGGGUGUUGGACAGAUUUAUCGGUUUUGGAUGGACUCGCGGACUAUCAGCUUGUUGGUGAGGUAAGGGAUCACCAAGGCGACGACGGGUAGCCGGCCUGAGAGGGUGACCGGCCACACGGGGACUGAGACACGGCGCAGACGGCUAUGUGAGGCAGCAGUGGGGAAUAUUACACAACGGGCGAAAGUCUGAUGCAGCGACGCUGCGUGAGGGAAGACGGCCCUCGGGUUGUAAACCGCGUUCAGUAGGGAAGAAGCGAAAUUGACGGUACCUGCAGAAGAAGCACCGGCUAACUACGUG